GACGAACGCUGGCGGCGUGCUUAACACAUGCAAGUCGAACGGGCCCGCUCUCUUUUUUGGGGGUGGGUUGAGUGGCGAACGGGUGAGUAUCACGUGAGUAACCUGCCCCCUGCUCCUGGAUAACUGCUUGAAAGGGCGGCUAAUACGGGGUGUGCCGGCUGGUCCGCAUGGGCCGGGCGGGGAUGGUUCAAUCUCGGGGGGUUCGGGGGGGGGUGGGGCUCGCGGCCUUUCAGCUUGUUGGGGGGGUGAUGGCCCACCAAGGCGGUGACGGGUAGCCGGCCUGAGAGGGUGGGCGGCCACACUGGGACUGAGACACGGCCCAGACUCCUGCGGGAGGCAGCAGUGGGGGGUAUUGCACAAUGGGCGGAAGCCUGAUGCAGCGACGUCGCGUGAGGGAUGGAGGCCUUCGGGUUGUGAACCUCUUUCUCCGGUGGUGAAGGCCCUGUCCGUUGCGGCGGGGUUGACGGUAGCCGGGUAUGAAGCGCCGGCUAACUACGUG
RNAcentral lists this ribosomal RNA (499 nucleotides) under uncultured bacterium. Its description in RNAcentral is "partial 16S ribosomal RNA". It matches the Rfam family "Bacterial small subunit ribosomal RNA", at positions 28 to 507 of the family's 1533-position model. The record is from RNAcentral.